GACUCUCGGCAACGGAUAUCUCGGCUCUCGCAUCGAUGAAGAACGUAGCGAAAUGCGAUACCUGGUGUGAAUUGCAGAAUCCCGCGAACCAUCGAGUCUUUGAACGCAAGUUGCGCCCGAGACCUUUUGGUUGAGGGCACGCCUGCCUGGGCGUCACGCCAAAU
This 164-nucleotide ribosomal RNA is filed under the name Phippsia algida. RNAcentral's name for it is "5.8S ribosomal RNA". It matches the Rfam family "5.8S ribosomal RNA". From Rfam's summary of the family: 5.8S ribosomal RNA (5.8S rRNA) is a component of the large subunit of the eukaryotic ribosome. It is transcribed by RNA polymerase I as part of the 45S precursor that also contains 18S and 28S rRNA. Lineage: Eukaryota; Viridiplantae; Streptophyta; Magnoliopsida; Poales; Poaceae. The record is from RNAcentral.